RNAcentral lists this ribosomal RNA (229 nucleotides) under uncultured bacterium. RNAcentral describes it as "partial 16S ribosomal RNA". It matches the Rfam family "Bacterial small subunit ribosomal RNA", at positions 104 to 334 of the family's 1533-position model. The record is from RNAcentral.
CGGGGUGAGUAAUGUCUGGGAAACUGCCUGAUGGAGGGGGAUAACUGCUGGAAACGGUAGCUAAUACCGCAUAACGUCGCAAGACCAAAGAGGGGGACCUUCGGGCCUCUUGCCAUCGGAUGUGCCCAGAUGGGAUUGGCUAGUAGGUGGGGUAACGGCUCACCUAGGCGACGAUCCCUAGCUGGUCUGAGAGGAUGACCAGCCACACUGGAACUGAGACACGGUCCAG